Molecule: ribosomal RNA, 926 nt
Filed under: Arthrobacter flavus
Lineage: Bacteria; Bacillati; Actinomycetota; Actinomycetes; Micrococcales; Micrococcaceae
Description: bacterial SSU rRNA
Rfam family: Bacterial small subunit ribosomal RNA
Source: RNAcentral
CAGCUUGCUGGGGGAUUAGUGGCGAACGGGUGAGUAACACGUGAGUAACCUGCCCUUGACUCUGGGAUAAGCCUGGGAAACCGGGUCUAAUACUGGAUAUGACCUUCUGGCGCAUGCCAUGUUGGUGGAAAGCUUUAUUGCGGUUUUGGAUGGACUCGCGGCCUAUCAGCUUGUUGGUGGGGUAAUGGCCUACCAAGGCGACGACGGGUAGCCGGCCUGAGAGGGUGGACGGCCACACUGGGACUGAGACACGGCCCAGACUCCUACGGGAGGCAGCAGUGGGGAAUAUUGCACAAUGGGCGCAAGCCUGAUGCAGCGACGCCGCGUGGGGGAUGAAGGCCUUCGGGUUGUAAACCUCUUUCAGUAGGGAAGAAGCGAAAGUGACGGUACCUGCAGAAGAAGCGCCGGCUAACUACGUGCCAGCAGCCGCGGUAAUACGUAGGGCGCAAGCGUUAUCCGGAAUUAUUGGGCGUAAAGAGCUCGUAGGCGGUUUGUCGCGUCUGCCGUGAAAGUCCGGGGCUUAACCCCGGAUCUGCGGUGGGUACGGGCAGACUAGAGUGAUGUAGGGGAGACUGGAAUUCCUGGUGUAGCGGUGAAAUGCGCAGAUAUCAGGAGGAACACCGAUGGCGAAGGCAGGUCUCUGGGCAUUAACUGACGCUGAGGAGCGAAAGCAUGGGGAGCGAACAGGAUUAGAUACCCUGGUAGUCCAUGCCGUAAACGUUGGGCACUAGGUGUGGGGGACAUUCCACGUUUUCCGCGCCGUAGCUAACGCAUUAAGUGCCCCGCCUGGGGGAGUACGGCCGCAAGGCUAAAACUCAAAGGAAUUGACGGGGGGCCCGCACAAGCGGGCGGAGCAUGCCGGAUUAAUUUCGAUGCAACGCGGAAGAACCUUACCAAAGGCUUGACAUGGAACUGGNAACAGCGCA